GGUUAAGCGACUAAGCGUACACGGUGGAUGCCCUGGCAGUCAGAGGCGAUGAAGGACGUGCUAAUCUGCGAAAAGCGUCGGUAAGGUGAUAUGAACCGUUAUAACCGGCGAUGUCCGAAUGGGGAAACCCAGUGCAAUUCGUUGCACUAUCGUUAACUGAAUACAUAGGUUAACGAGGCGAACCGGGGGAACUGAAACAUCUAAGUACCCCGAGGAAAAGAAAUCAACCGAGAUUCCCCCAGUAGCGGCGAGCGAACGGGGAGCAGCCCAGAGUCUGAAUCAGCUUGUGUGUUAGUGGAACGGUCUGGAAAGUCCGACGGUACAGGGUGAUAGUCCCGUACACCAAAAUGCACAGGUUGUGAACUCGAAGAGUAGGGCGGGACACGUGGUAUCCUGUCUGAAUAUGGGGGACCAUCCUCCAAGGCUAAAUACUCCUGACUGACCGAUAGUGAACCAGUACCGUGAGGGAAAGGCGAAAAGAACCCCGGCGAGGGGAGUGAAAAAGAACCUGAAACCGUGUACGUACAAGCAGUGGGAGCACCUUCGGGUGUGACUGCGUACCUUUUGUAUAAUGGGUCAGCGACUUAUAUUCUGUAGCAAGGUUAACCGUAUAGGGGAGCCGCAGGGAAACCGAGUCUUAACUGGGCGUUAAGUUGCAGGGUAUAGACCCGAAACCCGGUGAUCUAGCCAUGGGCAGGUUGAAGGUUGGGUAACACUAACUGGAGGACCGAACCGACUAAUGUUGAAAAAUUAGCGGAUGACUUGUGGCUGGGGGUGAAAGGCCAAUCAAACCGGGAGAUAGCUGGUUCUCCCCGAAAGCUAUUUAGGUAGCGCCUCGUGAACUCAUCUUCGGGGGUAGAGCACUGUUUCGGCUAGGGGGUCAUCCCGACUUACCAACCCGAUGCAAACUACGAAUACCGAAGAAUGUUAUCACGGGAGACACACGGCGGGUGCUAACGUCCGUCGUGAAGAGGGAAACAACCCAGACCGCCAGCUAAGGUCCCAAAGUCAUGGUUAAGUGGGAAACGAUGUGGGAAGGCACAGACAGCCAGGAUGUUGGCUUAGAAGCAGCCAUCAUUUAAAGAAAGCGUAAUAGCUCACUGGUCGAGUCGGCCUGCGCGGAAGAUGUAACGGGGCUAAACCAUGCACCGAAGCUGCGGCAGCGACACUAUGUGUUGUUGGGUAGGGGAGCGUUCUGUAAGCCUGCGAAGGUGACCUGUGAGGGUUGCUGGAGGUAUCAGAAGUGCGAAUGCUGACAUAAGUAACGAUAAAGCGGGUGAAAAGCCCGCUCGCCGGAAGACCAAGGGUUCCUGUCCAACGUUAAUCGGGGCAGGGUGAGUCGACCCCUAAGGCGAGGCCGAAAGGCGUAGUCGAUGGGAAACAGGUUAAUAUUCCUGUACUUGGUGUUACUGCGAAGGGGGGACGGAGAAGGCUAUGUUAGCCGGGCGACGGUUGUCCCGGUUUAAGCAUGUAGGCUGGUUGUCCAGGCAAAUCCGGAUAAUCAAGGCUGAGGUGUGAUGACGAGGCACUACGGUGCUGAAGUAACAAAUGCCCUGCUUCCAGGAAAAGCCUCUAAGCAUCAGGUAACAUUAAAUCGUACCCCAAACCGACACAGGUGGUCAGGUAGAGAAUACCAAGGCGCUUGAGAGAACUCGGGUGAAGGAACUAGGCAAAAUGGUGCCGUAACUUCGGGAGAAGGCACGCUGGUGUGUAGGUGAAGCCCCUGCGGGUGGAGCUGAGACCAGUCGAAGAUACCAGCUGGCUGCAACUGUUUAUUAAAAACACAGCACUGUGCAAACACGAAAGUGGACGUAUACGGUGUGACGCCUGCCCGGUGCCGGAAGGUUAAUUGAUGGGGUUAUCCGUAAGGAGAAGCUCUUGAUCGAAGCCCCGGUAAACGGCGGCCGUAACUAUAACGGUCCUAAGGUAGCGAAAUUCCUUGUCGGGUAAGUUCCGACCUGCACGAAUGGCGUAAUGAUGGCCAGGCUGUCUCCACCCGAGACUCAGUGAAAUUGAACUCGCUGUGAAGAUGCAGUGUACCCGCGGCAAGACGGAAAGACCCCGUGAACCUUUACUAUAGCUUGACACUGAACAUUGAGCCUUGAUGUGUAGGAUAGGUGGGAGGCUUUGAAGCGUGGACGCCAGUCUGCGUGGAGCCAACCUUGAAAUACCACCCUUUAAUGUUUGAUGUUCUAACGUUGGCCCCUGACCGGGGUUGCGGACAGUGUCUGGUGGGUAGUUUGACUGGGGCGGUCUCCUCCCAAAGCGUAACGGAGGAGCACGAAGGUUAGCUAAUCCUGGUCGGACAUCAGGAGGUUAGUGCAAUGGCAUAAGCUAGCUUGACUGCGAGCGUGACGGCGCGAGCAGGUGCGAAAGCAGGUCAUAGUGAUCCGGUGGUUCUGAAUGGAAGGGCCAUCGCUCAACGGAUAAAAGGUACUCCGGGGAUAACAGGCUGAUACCGCCCAAGAGUUCAUAUCGACGGCGGUGUUUGGCACCUCGAUGUCGGCUCAUCACAUCCUGGGGCUGAAGUAGGUCCCAAGGGUAUGGCUGUUCGCCAUUUAAAGUGGUACGCGAGCUGGGUUUAGAACGUCGUGAGACAGUUCGGUCCCUAUCUGCCGUGGGCGCUGGAGAAUUGAGGGGGGCUGCUCCUAGUACGAGAGGACCGGAGUGGACGCAUCACUGGUGUUCGGGUUGUCAUGCCAAUGGCACUGCCCGGUAGCUAAAUGCGGAAGAGAUAAGUGCUGAAAGCAUCUAAGCACGAAACUUGCCCCGAGAUGAGUUCUCCCUGAGACUUUAAGUCUCCUGAAGGAACGUUGAAGACGACGACGUUGAUAGGCCGGGUGUGUAAGCGCAGCGAUGCGUUGAGCUAACCGGUACUAAUGAACCGUGAGGCUUAACCUU
This 2901-nucleotide ribosomal RNA is filed under the name Klebsiella pneumoniae. RNAcentral describes it as "23S ribosomal RNA". It matches the Rfam family "Bacterial large subunit ribosomal RNA". The record is from RNAcentral. Lineage: Bacteria; Pseudomonadati; Pseudomonadota; Gammaproteobacteria; Enterobacterales; Enterobacteriaceae.